Molecule: ribosomal RNA, 496 nt
Filed under: uncultured bacterium
Lineage: Bacteria
Description: partial 16S ribosomal RNA
Rfam family: Bacterial small subunit ribosomal RNA
Source: RNAcentral
AUGAACGCUGGCGGCGUGCCUAAUACAUGCAAGUCGAGCGAACAGAUGAGGAGCUUGCUCCUCUGACGUUAGCGGCGGACGGGUGAGUAACACGUGGAUAACCUACCUAUAAGACUGGGAUAACUUCGGGAAACCGGAGCUAAUACCGGAUAAUAUAUUGAACCGCAUGGUUCAAUAGUGAAAGACGGUUUUGCUGUCACUUAUAGAUGGAUCCGCGCCGCAUUAGCUAGUUGGUAAGGUAACGGCUUACCAAGGCAACGAUGCGUAGCCGACCUGAGAGGGUGAUCGGCCACACUGGAACUGGGACACGGUCCAGACGCCUACGGGAGGCAGCAGUAGGGAAUCUUCCGCAAUGGGCGAAAGCCUGACGGAGCAACGCCGCGUGAGUGAUGAAGGUCUUCGGAUCGUAAAACUCUGUUAUUAGGGAAGAACAAAUGUGUAAGUAACUAUGCACGUCUUGACGGUACCUAAUCAGAAAGCCACGGCUAACUACGUG